CUGGCGACCGGCGCACGGGUGAGUAACACGUAUCCAACCUGCCGAUAACUCGGGGAUAGCCUUUCGAAAGAAAGAUUAAUACCCGAUGGCAUAAUUAGACCGCAUGGUUUGAUUAUUAAAGAAUUUCGGUUAUCGAUGGGGAUGCGUUCCAUUAGGCAGUUGGUGAGGUAACGGCUCACCAAACCUUCGAUGGAUAGGGGUUCUGAGAGGAAGGUCCCCCACAUUGGAACUGAGACACGGUCCAA
RNAcentral lists this ribosomal RNA (245 nucleotides) under uncultured bacterium. Its description in RNAcentral is "partial 16S ribosomal RNA". It matches the Rfam family "Bacterial small subunit ribosomal RNA", at positions 88 to 334 of the family's 1533-position model. The record is from RNAcentral.